AUUAGAGGCUGCUCAAGGAGAAUUUAUCUGGCAACAGAUUUACUUAAAUGCCAUCAUCUGAACCCUCACCCCUACACACAGCUGGGGAAGACCCGGGGGAAUUUGUUUUUACGGUGCCAGGGUGGUGAUGGUGGUUAUUCAGCUGCGUUCCCCAAGGAACUGUGGUAAUGUACUGAAUGAGUUCCUCGUGCUGAGGGAAGCAUCACCCGCGGCUCUGUCACCGCUGGAGCGCUCACCCAGGCUGAGCUGGGCAGAAAUCGGGUGUUUUGGUACAGGGAAACCUGAUAAUUCUGCAUUAAACAUAUAUGCUGGGGAAAAAGGCAGUGGAAGAAGCCGACCCUGUAAAUCCCCCCUGCCCACACCGUGCCAGAGGGGCAAUGGGCUCCUGACUGCCUGGGAAAUUGGCCUCGCAAAGUGGGGUAGGAAGGACCUUGAAUCGUACCAGGAAAGGCAAUCAUAAUACUAUUCGACAUUGAUUCCUCUUAACUUCUACAAGCAACAAAAAAUGUUUUCACAGUUAGCAGGGAUUCUGCUAUUGUACCCCAUCUGAGUGCUUAUGUCUAAUGUGUCACCGGUACCAUCCCCAAAUGGGCAAUUUGUCUCCCACUAGGAAAUGAUUCUCUGGCACACAAAGCACCCCUAUCAGAUGUGGCUCACGUUUACUCUCUGGAGUUGACUCUGUGAUGACAAAUCCCUUUAAUUUUGACUUGCUCCUAUUUGUCAAACAAGUGGGAAUCCAAAAUAUUGCAAGAAUUAUUUUCAAGCAAAGCAUUUGUUUUGACAGUAUUGAAAAAACAGAAAAAAGGAGAGAUAUUAUCCUGUGACAAUAUCUCUUUUUAUACCUGAGAGGCAUUGAUCCACAGCAGAGGCAUUUACAGCUCUUCACAUGCAGCACGCGCCUCAAAAAUUGUUUACAAGAACAAGAAACUUCUGCCAAGCUGACCUGCAAAAUUCUGAGGGUUUUUUCUAUAACAAUUAUUCCAUAUUCAUGCACCCCUGAAAGGAUGGGGUGGGUGGAAGAUGGAUUUGAACCACCUCUGCUUUCCUACUUUCUAGGUCCCCGUCGAUACCAGAUUAUUACGUACCAGCUGUACAGCCCAGGGAAUGACUGUAGCGCUCAAGAAGGAAUAAGAUCUCAACAAACGAUGCAGCCCACGAGCACGAAGGGCUCACGGGCGAGGAAGAAGAAGGUGCUCCAAGGAUGUUCGCACAGCCAGAGCAUCUCCUUGUCUCCCUUUGCCUUGGGGUUACCCAAAGGACCUCCUGGGCACCUGGAUCAAUUCAAGAAAGAGAUCUCGUAACAGCAAAUUCAAUUGUGAAGCGACCGCUGUCAGUUGGACUUAAGUAAUCAAGUGGAGCAGCUUGGUUUGUUAUAUCUAUAGACCAGAGCACUUCCACUGGAAGAUAUCUAAAGAGAUGCCCACAAGUUAAGGAAUGCUGAAAAUAACCAAAGUUGCGUUGAUAACUGGAGACGGGAACACUUUUGGAGUGGUGAUUUGCAAAUUUUACCGUGUGAAGCCACCAAAACCUCAAAAGUUGUUUGUCACAGGUUUUGUGAUGCUCUCUGAAGUCAAAAGAAGUCACAUAACUAAACAAAAACGUGGAUUCCCAUUGAACAGCAUCAGCUAAAGCAGCAAGGCAAGAGCACGUGAGCUUUCAGCUCAGGCUCCAAAGUCGGUUCGAGACACUCCAGCAGGACUUGUUUCUUUCCAGUUCCUACCUCCGAUCGUACCCGUAACAAUAUUACUUGGGGCUAAUUCCUGCCUCAGCUGUGGACAGACUGGACCUGUCCAGACAACAUGGGGGCUUCCUACACCUCCUGACAGAUUGUCAGCUGGGGAUUCAUUCUGUGUAUGUGUCGAGUCUGAACGGAAUUAUUUGAGGAAUUUUCAUUCAGUGAAUUGUUUUUUCAUCUGCAGCCCGACACAAAUGCUCUGUGUCAGAACUGCAACACACCGUUUCUCCGAAAACUGAAGUAAAAUGAAUAGCAAAGCAUGCUCGCCAGAAGAGCAUGAAGCGUAAUAUCUUUUGUAUCGGGGUUUGGAGAAAUAUGUGUAAUCCCACAGAAAUAUUUUUCAAAAAAAGGAAAAAACCUCUGACAGCACUGCUGUAAUUACCUCCUUUGCUCCCUGAAGAACGGGUCCAUCCAUCCUCCCACCAAACGCUGGCCCAGCUGCAGGGUGGUGGUGGCGCUUGGGCUGAGAAUAAUGUCAAACAAAUUUUCUGAUUGCUGAGUAUUGCUUCUCCUAGAACAUGAUGGAUCCCUCUGAGAGUGAAUGAAAACUCUUAGAGAGGAUUAGCACACGGGCGACUGAGUUAACACCAUUUAACCCCGGGACGACACCUCGUUUCUGUGGAAAACCGCCUUGCCUUUGACGUCUGCAGGAGUCUGGAGUCUGGUGAAAAGAGGAGCAGGUGGGACACCAGAGGAGAGCUUCUUCCUUCGGAAGUCUGAAUUCAUCAAACAAAACCUUAGGACAUUGUUUUAAAUGCUGAAAACAGAGCGAAACCAUUAUAUGGCACGCUGUUUUGUAGAGUUAAUUUGUGGAGUUUACAGAUCCUUGGUGGGUGCGUAGACUUGGGAACAGAAAUGCUUUCUUAAAAUAUUACUGUGGAGCCAGAUACUUCACUUUAUAUCUCCUCCACAGCGCUGAUUCUUGUUACAAAAUUUCACACGCUGGAUGUCUGAUAAAAGCAGGGAAGUUGUGAGUGCCCCCACACGAGGCAGCUCCAAAGCGAUUUUUUUUGUGCAUGUGAAUACAGAGUCCAUCAUUGCAAGAAGAGGUAAGAAAAGGAAACCUGAGGCUUUUUCAAAUACUGUAGCUUCAAAUCACAGUGAUUAAAUUAUAGUCCAAUCACAGACUGAACAAGAGGAUGUUGGUGAAAUAAAAGUAAAUGCACUUAACUCUUCAGGCUUGUGCAAGGUAUUUGUACGUAGAGUCACACCCUUCUUGACUGGACUAGGAAACUUGUCUAGAUGCCUCACAUAGUAAUGGGUGUGCUAUCUGUGGAAUUUCAUUUGAAAUCCUAACUCUUCCUAGGAUUUUUUUACAGUAAUGUUAAUGGUAACUAUAAAAGCAAAUAGAUUUCACCAAGGGCAAGAAGUUUGGCAGCUCUAUUAAUUUUCUUUUUAUCUAAUGCAAAGUAUUUUUUGAAGUAUUCUUAGAAAUUCCUUGUCUUGAAGUAGUUCCUGGUAAAGAUAAAAUAAAGGUCCAGUUCUGUUACAUUUAACAAGCAGAGAAAUGCUUUAUGAGUAUAAAAAAAUGAUCAGUGAAUUUCUUGUUCUAUUUUAAAUGUGUCUACAUGUUAGGAAAAAUGAGAAAACAGACUGACACCUUUCUUAUUUAUAUUAAGUUGAUAUUUAUAUCAAGUUUUAAAGAUUCAUUUUCACAUGGAACCAGCUUUAAAAUUAUGUUUUCCAUUCCCAGAGUAUAAUUCUUACUUUAUGAACAUUUGAAUUUAAUCACAUUGAAUAAGUUAUUGGUAAAUGAUACCUACUUUUCCAUAGAUGAUCUGUACUCAGACUCCCUUUAGGUGCCACACACAGUAGCCAUCCUGUAUCAGAUGUUAUUUUUAUUAACACUGAAGAGUGGACAUUUCAUUUUACCUCCUUUUUAUUUUAUGUUUAAUAUUUAGCUUAAUUUUUAACUUCAGCUUUGAUAUUUAGUUUAACUUAAAAGCAUACUGCUUUUAUUUUAUUUGUAGCUAGAAGGAUGGUAAAGCAGCAAAGAAAAACCCAGCCUUAUUGUUUUGUUUAUAUCUCAAGCUUACUUUUUAAUAUUUCAGGGCAUCUUUUCAAAGCAAGGAAAUAUUUCAGUCCUCCUGACUUCUUGCUAUCCUUGCUGAGACUGUCAGUUAUUGUAUGGCCACUUGUCCACCAGCCACUGGACUGCACCACCCAUUAAUCUAGUUUAUUCCCUCUAAUUAGCCAUCAGACAUGCAGACACCACAGACCUUAAUGGAGAAGAGGUGGUAAUCUCACUGUAAAAGGCUGCUUGUCCCUUUUGACUCUCCCCCGGAGAGAUCAAGGUCCAGGACAACAGUGAUACAGCAGAGGUGACUCUGAAAGAGGGGGAAAAAACCAGCACAGAAGCUUUAACUUUGCAUGGUAAUACUCCUUUCUUGUACUGUCAUGAGCGUGUUUCAAAUUUAAUUUCACAAGUUCAAACACAUUUGCAAAUAAUUAUUUUCAGUGUCUUGCUGUUGCAUUCAAAUUUGUGAGUACAACCCAUUAUCAGUUUCCUUAGAAUCUGAUCAUUUGUGCUUAGAGGUGAAGCCUCAUUAGCCUUCUCAAAACAAUAUAAACGGGAAAUGUCUGAAAUCAUGUGAUUAGAGAUGUGUAAAACUACUUGUGGAAACACAGGUACCUGAUGAGCCAUUAAUGAGAUCAUUAAAAAUAUUCAAAAAUUCAAUUUCAUCUGAAAAUAAGAGACUUCUUGUAAAAUGCUUAAAAAUAUAGUAAAAACCUGUUACACAGUUUGAAAAUGCACAGUGAAUUUUACCUCCUAAUGCAGGGCAUUGACUGACACACAAGUGAAAGAAAAAUAUCAAUACUUAAAUCAAAUUGAAUGGCAGGCUGUAACUUCUCCCAUCCAUGCAAAUAUUUCAUGUGUAAAUUGUACAAGUAUUUGCAGUGGAAGUAUACAAAAAUCCCCUUAGGAAUACGGUGGUUUGGAAACUGCGGGUCUGCUCAUACCCAAAUGUAGAGCAAUUGUAAAAACGCCAGCUUGCCAAAUGUAUUCCUCAACUAAUUUUGUCACAGGAUUUUAUACUUAGAAAUUUAUAGCAAAUUCAUCAGGUCUAAACCAGCUGGAGAUCGGAGCCUGGCAAAGCGAUCUCCAUUUGCAAGGACAAAUGCUAAAGCGUGUGGCUUUAGAUUUAUGAAUUUCUCUUGUGCCCAGACUGGACAGCCCUGUUUCAUCCACGAGGAUCCAGAUCACCUUGGACCGUCAAAGGAAGAGUCUUAUCAACCGGGAUAAAAACCAAACAUUUACCAAGGUGCUGGCUCUGCAUUAGGUGCCCCACGAGCACGGUGGGACGAGCUGCCUGGUGUGUUUGCAUCCGAGCCGCUCGGCCGCGGUGAACGUUGACACAGCCCUGGCAGAAAGAGUGGCUCCAGCAAUGAAAUCCUGACUGAUGAAGCUCAUGGGGUAAGUUGUCAACCUGAUCAAACACUGCCCGAAUACCCCAUGGCGUGAGCCAUCCCUGGGCACUGCGAUCGCUAAUCAUCGACGUGGCCGUGUCAGAUGAUGCUCCACGCGCCGCAGAGGGCCGGUGAUCGAUGGUCCGCACUGCGGUGCUCUGGCGGAGGGAAAGGUGGGGAAUCGGCUCCUGCGACCGAGUCCCCGACCCAAAGGGCAGCGUUCGGUCUCUGAAUGCACCGGCUAUCCGUUCGACCGACGUCUUGUCCAUAAUGUCUUGGCAGACUGUUGCAGCUAAUCUCUCUAUUGAUUUUUGCUUAGAAACACCUAGAGCUAUUCAAUCACUAAUAAAAUCUGAAGAGUUCGGUUUUCAAGACAUUUAACUCGUUUGGAGGCAAAGUUUAUUUAUUGUUUGAUGAGCAACUGAAUAGUUCUGCUCGUUUCUGAGUAAAGGCAUCAUAUGGACGAUUGACAACUGAGUCAAAAUCCAUCCAGCCACACUGAGCUUUAGCCUGGCAACUGGACUCAAUUUGGGCUAUUAUUGUCCAUGCAUACGCUUGUUUUUCUUCCUCCUUUUCCCUCUCUUCUGGUCUAUUUUCCCAGUUUAACUGGGGGGGAAAAAAGUCCAUAUAUCUUUCUGAACCUGUGUUUCCUUAGCAGCAGACACUGCUAUCAUCAACACUGAGUGGCAAAUCUUGAUGGAUCCAGUUUGGAAGGAAAGGCAAACUUUCUGAUUGCCUUUUGAUUUGCUUUCCUUGUCUCCCCUUCUGUUAUUUUUUCUGUCCUACUCCGGAUCCAAAUGUUGUUUCGUCCACAGCUCCUUCCAGAUUUGCUGAGAAGAAGCCAAGGUGAAAGCAAGCUGGAGGUGUAAAGUUUGGGAGGGGGAAUCAGGCGUGCAGGUGGGGCUGCCCACUGGGGUGACCUUCCCUCAUCCCAUGCCAGAUGCCCUGGAAGCCUGCCCGGUUUGGCACUUACCUCUUCAGGAAAGACAGAAAUUACCAAACAACAAAGGCAGAGUUGACAGGAGAAAACAAUCAAUGCACCUCUGUCUGGGGUAGAAAUCGUUACUGGCAUCGGGAGAAGGCUAAGGUAUGUAAAUGGCAAGAAUAUGGGGAGACUUCAUGUCUUCAGAUAUAUUCUUACCUUUAAAUAAGGCCAAGUCUUCAGUAAAAAAAUAAUGUCUUAUUUAAUUGUAAGCCUUUCAGGGCCCUUGCAAAAAAGCUGUAAUAUUUCAUUGCAUAAAUGAUAUACCUAAAUCUGUAUCAGAUAAUGUCUCACUUUUCUCUUUAUUUAAAUGAUGAAAGAUGGUUUAUUAUGACUAAGAUAAUUUUCUGACUUCUUUUUUUUUACGUUUUCUUAACAGGGAUGACAUUUAGACUAGAAAAAGAAAAGUAAGACCAGCCAUCAAUAAGUGGUUUUAUUGGUUAAAUUUUAAUGUUAUUUUUAAGCAAAUAAUGAAUUACUUUGACUAAUAACUGUAGAGCCAGACGUGAUUCGUUCUCAUAAUUAGGUUGGCAGUCACCAUCAAUCCUGUAGUUUUAGUUCAUCCGAUUAUAAAAUCUUGUCUCCUUUUCCCAUAUAACAUCUUACCAAAUUGCACCCCGUGAAAUAUGACGUGCUUGAUGGGACUUUGCUUGGACAGUCCUCAGAAUAACUUUUGCAGUUACAGAGCUACAACCAUGGGGGGUCAGCAGCCACCCCUGAGAUUCAGGCUGGAGCCAAAGCUUGGGAAAUAUUGCUAAUCUGGAAGAGCUUUCGGCCUUUGCAGACCAUGGCUAUUUUUGUAGAAGAGUUAAACCUAGGAAGCUUCAGACUCAAAUCAAUCUCUCUUAGAGGAACUGAGCACAGCUGAAGCACUUGCACUUGUUGAGCAUGUGCCAGCAGCCCUCAAGGGGACUGAGGUAACAUCACACUCCAUUUAACUACAGCACAUACGGCUGAAGAAAAGAAAUUACCUCGUAUGUGGCAAGAAGCUUUCACGUGUUCUAGAUAAGACAGACAGGUGGGUGGUUUCUCAAAUGCUGGCCUGUAUGACACUGAAUCGAAACAACCAUUGCAAAAAAGCUUUCUUCUUUUCGUGAAGACUAUCUACCCAGAGAUAAUGUUGAAUAUUUGAGGAAGAUACAGGUAUUGGUUUAUUAGGGAAAUGCAACUCUCUUAUUUCAGUCAUUUCCUUUAUUAACUUUUAUUUUAGAAAAAAUAUAUCCAUGUACAUUGAGAUGUGGUUACUUCUGUAGCUAAAAAUGUAUUAUCUAACUUUGGUUAUACUCCUAGCAGUAAGACAGACAAGUUAUCUGAACCUACCUCGGUGUUCCCACUUGGACAGUGUUUAUCAUAUUGAUGUGUAGGAGAAAAAGCGUUCAUCUACCAUCAAACUGCAUAGCUUUGAAAAAAAAAAAACAAAAAAAAAGAGUAGAAACUUUUUGGCAUGUUCUAAUAGUACAUAAGCUUAUCACUUAAUCACACAAUGGUGCUACGGGCUGGCUGGCUGUUAGGCAGCCAACUUUCAUUGCUCCCACUGCAAGAAGA
Long non-coding RNA from Aquila chrysaetos chrysaetos, 7670 nucleotides. RefSeq lists it as uncharacterized. The transcript is spliced from 10 exons. The record is from RefSeq and is a predicted model, not a curated record. NCBI's taxonomy places the organism in Eukaryota, Metazoa, Chordata, Aves, Accipitriformes, Accipitridae.